This 74-nucleotide transfer RNA is filed under the name Cordylochernes scorpioides. RNAcentral's name for it is "tRNA-Thr". It matches the Rfam family "tRNA". Rfam says of the family: Transfer RNA (tRNA) molecules are approximately 80 nucleotides in length. Their secondary structure includes four short double-helical elements and three loops (D, anti-codon, and T loops). Further hydrogen bonds mediate the characteristic L-shaped molecular structure. tRNAs have two regions of fundamental functional importance: the anti-codon, which is responsible for specific mRNA codon recognition, and the 3' end, to which the tRNAs corresponding amino acid is attached (by aminoacyl-tRNA synthetases). tRNAs cope with the degeneracy of the genetic code in two manners: having more than one tRNA (with a specific anti-codon) for a particular amino acid; and 'wobble' base-pairing, i.e. permitting non-standard base-pairing at the 3rd anti-codon position. The record is from RNAcentral. Lineage: Eukaryota; Metazoa; Arthropoda; Arachnida; Pseudoscorpiones; Chernetidae.
GUCCAGGGUAGCCUUGUGUCAUGGUAUCUGCCCGGUAAGCGGAAGGUCGUGGGUUCGAUUCCCAUCCCUUGACA